Dermacentor albipictus is the source of this 287-nucleotide long non-coding RNA. RefSeq lists it as uncharacterized. Lineage: Eukaryota; Metazoa; Arthropoda; Arachnida; Ixodida; Ixodidae. The record is from RefSeq and is a predicted model, not a curated record.
AUUCCAUUUCACUUCACAGCUACCGAUCGUCCCGAUAUACUAAAUCUCGUAGUGGACUCUGACACCAGUCAUCCUGACCUCGCCCGAUUCCCGUACACCGACUACGCUACCUGUGGCGUCAUGGAAACUCACUAUUUCGGAUAUCAAUGCACAUUGUGGGUGUCCGACGAAACCAAGGACUCAAUUUCUCAAGAGUGUCUCCGGCAGUACGCUGACAUCUGCGGAGAAAGUGUCUCUCUGUACGACAAAGAUAUGUGCGGAAAUGGCACGCAACAUUAAGUUAUACU